RNAcentral lists this long non-coding RNA (216 nucleotides) under Amborella trichopoda. RNAcentral's name for it is "long non-coding RNA (ATRI_LNC004076)". Lineage: Eukaryota; Viridiplantae; Streptophyta; Magnoliopsida; Amborellales; Amborellaceae. The record is from RNAcentral.
CAAGAGUUAUAAAUGAGAGUGUUCACUCAAGCGAUCUACCGAGAAAGGUUUAGUGGGUUAGCCCUUGUUGAGGUCGCAGUAUGCCCAGAUGAGAAUCGAAGGACGAUACGACCCUUGCAUGUGAUGAAUAGCCUUUAACGACAUCGCCAAAACAUCAUCGUUAUAUCAUCACACAACAUGUACAUGGCUAGCGGUUUUGAGAUUCGCUAAUGAGGG